Long non-coding RNA from Cynara cardunculus var. scolymus (artichoke), 1369 nucleotides. RefSeq lists it as uncharacterized. The record is from RefSeq and is a predicted model, not a curated record. Lineage: Eukaryota; Viridiplantae; Streptophyta; Magnoliopsida; Asterales; Asteraceae. The transcript is spliced from 3 exons.
GUCACCAAGCCAAUGACCAAAGAGGAGGGUGAUGCCAUAGAUGUGGAAACUUAUGUUCCCAAAGGUUUGCCUAAACCUAAGCAAAGGAAGCCAAGAGCCAAACGAAUGAAGAUAAAGGAUGAGGUUCAAGAUGAUGCACAACCCUCGGGAGUACCACCUACAGUUGAGCCACUCUCCCAAGGUGUUAGCAAGACAGAAAGCACAGAAUUUGACAUAUGCCACCAAAUCCCCAUUUAUGUGAGUAUCGCAGGUUGUUACAUGACCACACUGAUGAGGAUUUGAAGAUGGUACUGACUGUUGUAGCGGAAGAGGGAGCCACUUGGAAGGCUCCACCAAAAGCGCAGUCCGCUCAAAUUUCAAACCAAGCUUUUGAAGAAGAAUGCGGCCGUGUGAAUCAUUUCUGAAAUAUUCAUUUCGCCCUACCACAUACGACUCAAGCACAUCAUUGGACCGCAUGCUUUUACUUUACUGUAUUCUUGCAGGUAAGGCGGUUGAUGUUGGGGGUCAUCUCAGAUGUCAUUCAAGGAUACACCAGGAAACCCACCGGACGGCUCUACUUCCCGGCAUUGAUACAUGGAUUAAUCAAGAAGGCGAAAGUACCAGUACCACCUGGCAAGGCACUUACAACCAAUGCACUACCCAUCGAGUGCAAAACAAUUGAUCGGAUCCUUAAAACCCCAAGAAAUGAACCCGGACAGCCCUCACUUGCUCCUGACAACAUCCACAAGGAGAUUGAUUUGAUGCUUGAAUUCCGUAGAUUGAAGGAGAAAGUCACCGCAUUAGAGACCACCUUGGAACAGAACGCCCAGACCCAUCACACCACCAUGGAGAGAGCACUGAAAGCCCAUGAAGAGACACUAUUGAAGAAGAUGGAGGAGAGAGAUGCACGGCUCAUGGCCGACUUGAAGGACAUGCUUGCCGGGAUGUCUCGGCGCCCCGAGGACCAUUGAUGGCACAUACUCCACACGAGUAAGCAGCCUUGUUUCUAGGUACUUGGCUGAAGCAUGCUACAGUAUAUGUUGCAGGACGAUCUAGGGGCAUUCUUGAGAAUAGUAUGAAAUCUUUUGAGGUCACUUCUUCCCUUUUUAGUAGCCCAUCUUCUGCAGCUUUCAAGAUCUCAUAGAACUAAUUCAAGAUCUAAUUUUUGGCAUCUUCUAGGUGGUUUUGGCUUUGCCCAUUGUUUUGUGUAAAAGGGUGGGUAAAAGCUUUUACUUAUUGGAUUUUAUCCUCCCUUCCUCCACUAUAUAAAGGGAGGAGGCUUGGCUUUAGAGGAAAGCAAUUUGGAUGCAACAAUCCUAGUAAAACACUUGAUAUAGUUUGGUUCUUUUGGUAUAAAGUUGUAGUUGCAAGUAUUCUUCUUCUUUAUAAU